UACGGAGGGUGCAAGCGUUAUCCGGAUUCACUGGGUUUAAAGGGUGCGUAGGUGGGAUGGUAAGUCCGUGGUGAAAUCUCCAAGCUUAACUUGGAAACUGCCGUGGAUACGAGCAUUCUUGAAUCUCGUGGAGGUAAGCGGAAUAUGUCAUGUAGCGGUGAAAUGCUUAGAUAUGACAUAGAACACCGAUAGCGAAGGCAGCUUGCUACACGAGUAUUGACACUGAGGCACGAAAGCGUGGGGAUCAAACAGG
RNAcentral lists this ribosomal RNA (253 nucleotides) under uncultured bacterium. RNAcentral describes it as "partial 16S ribosomal RNA". It matches the Rfam family "Bacterial small subunit ribosomal RNA", at positions 524 to 776 of the family's 1533-position model. The record is from RNAcentral.